This 559-nucleotide ribosomal RNA is filed under the name uncultured bacterium. RNAcentral's name for it is "bacterial SSU rRNA". It matches the Rfam family "Bacterial small subunit ribosomal RNA", at positions 27 to 573 of the family's 1533-position model. The record is from RNAcentral.
GAUUGAACGCUGGCGGCAGGCCUAACACAUGCAAGUCGAGCGGCAGCGGGAAAGUAGCUUGCUACUUUUGCCGGCGAGCGGCGGACGGGUGAGUAAUGCCUGGGGAUCUGCCCAGUCGAGGGGGGUAACAGUUGGAAACGACUGCUAAUACCGCAUACGCCCUACGGGGGAAAGGAGGGGACCUUCGGGCCUUUCGCGAUUGGAUGAACCCAGGUGGGAUUAGCUAGUUGGUGGGGUAAUGGCUCACCAAGGCGACGAUCCCUAUCUGGUCUGAGAGGAUGAUCAGCCACACUGGAACUGACACACGGUCCAGACUCCUACGGGAGGCAGCACUGGGGAAUAUUGCACAAUGGGGGAAACCCUGAUGCAGCCAUGCCGCGUGUGUGAAGAAGGCCUUCGGGUUGUAAAGCACUUUCAUCGAGGAGGAAAGGUUGGCGCCUAAUACGUGUCAACUGUGACGUUACUCGCAGAAGAAGCACCGGCUAACUCCGUGCCAGCAGCCGCGGUAAUACGGAGGGUGCAAGCGUUAAUCGGAAUUACUGGGCGUAAAGCGCACGCA